Molecule: long non-coding RNA, 1656 nt
Filed under: Helianthus annuus (common sunflower)
Lineage: Eukaryota; Viridiplantae; Streptophyta; Magnoliopsida; Asterales; Asteraceae
Description: hypothetical non coding rna
Source: RNAcentral
UCGCCCCUUCUGUCUCUAUAUAUAUAUUUCUUUUAUUUUUGGAAAAUUUCACUUAUAAUAAUAAUAAUAAAGCCAUGCCCCGUAUUAAGUGUUUUAACUCCCGAUCACCGCUACCCUUUCCGAUUGAUCUGAGUCUCAUAACAUAUGUCAGGGCUCUGCCCGACUAAGUUGUUGGGAUUCUAUCUCGGGACUUCGGGACAAGGUUGAAUUAGGGGUACUAUACUUACCACGAGUGCAUUAUAUAUAUUUUUUUAGCCCAAAAGUUAUACCUAAAAUUUAUACCAGGAGAUUUUCUAGUUGAACCCUAAAAGUUACACAGUGGAUCCAUUCUCUUUUCUCACCGUUUUAUUCUCUUUUUGUGAUUUACCCAAAACUAUUAUUUAUUAUUCUAUUUUGUAAACAAAUCUCAUCAAAAGUCGUAUUCUAUUAUUUUAAUUACCCAAUAGGAAACCCCAGUUGAGACACCCAAGUGUUAUGGGAUACUGGAUCAGGAUACCGGAUCAGGAUACUGGAUCAGGAUACCGGACCAGGAUAUUGGUAACGUCCUGAGGCAGUAUCCUGACUAUUACUAACAAUUUGCUUGUAAACGUUGGCUACAAGGGACUAACGUUCAUAAGGACCAAGUCAUCCUGAAGACCCGCUCAAGUUGGUUAUGAUAAAGACGUUGAUGGCGAAAAAAUAGCUCUUGUAACGGUCAGCAUUGAAGAAUGGCGUGUUUUAUGGGAAUUAUUGAUGCUGGUCAAAGAUAUCAAUGAUAUAACGGUUAUGGAAGCUUAAAUCCCGGAGUUAUAGUUAGUAUGCGCGUGGAAAACGUGUUGGAACAGCCUUGCAACGUUCGGAAAGGAAAUAAUCUCAGUAUCCCGGAUUUUUAGCAUAAUAUCCCGGAUUUUUAGCAUAGUUAGUUAUUUCCUUUUACUAUAUAAAGGAAUGCACGGAUCAUAGGAACACACAACUUACACACACAAUCUCUCGUACACUCUUGCUCUCUUCCACCUGUAACCACUCACAAACACUCACACUUGUACUCGAAUCGCAUUGUAACACUUAGUUGAUCCGUAUCAUAUCCUGUACUAUAUCCUGUUAUUCAAGCAAUAAGAAGAACAAGGCAGCCGACGCUUGUCAGCUCCCGAGGUUUUAUCCCGGAGAUCUAGAUUGAUCAAGGGCUUUCCUCGUACAUCACGUGUCAACCUUUACAUUUUUGCUCAUUGUUUGAUUAUAGAUACAGCUCGAUAUCCUGAGCCGUAUCCUGUUAACUGUUUUUGCAAACUAACAAAACAACAUAUUUUUUCAUAAAGUAUUACUAGCACACUACCUCACAAAACUAAUUUGAUCACUUAAUUGCUUAGGUAAUUUUUGACCAAAACAAUUUGGCGCCCACCGUGGGGCAAGUGGUGCUAUUUCUACUAAAAGCUUUUGUAAAAUCGUUAAUCGGUUUUCUAUUUUCAAAACUGUUUUGGUCAAAAAUCACACAAGGAUAAUGCAACCAAACUCUUUGUAAACGGGGAAUGAUGCUUGGUAUGAUGAGCAAAGUAAAGGAUCACUAUAAUGAAAAUUGCACAAGUGACACAAGGAUUUAUACGAGGAAAAAGCCCUUGAUCAAUGAAUGAUCUCCGGCAUAAAAAACCUCGGGUGAUGGAAACUACCGAUCACCAAACU